Molecule: ribosomal RNA, 396 nt
Filed under: Leiobunum bracchiolum
Lineage: Eukaryota; Metazoa; Arthropoda; Arachnida; Opiliones; Sclerosomatidae
Description: partial 12S ribosomal RNA
Rfam family: Microsporidia small subunit ribosomal RNA
Source: RNAcentral
AAUUUGGCGGUAUCUUAUCCUAAUAGAGGAACUUGACCUGUGAUCGAUAAUCCCCGUCUUAUCUUACUCUUACUAAUGUUUGUAUACCGUUGUUGUUAGAUUACCUUGCAUAGUUAGUGAGUUUUCUUAAUAGUCUAGAUUGGUCGCUUCUUAGCUACUUUUUAGUACUUUUACUUCAAAUCAAGGUGCAGUUUAUGUAGGAGUUGAGUUGAGUUACUUUGAAUAAGAAUUGGAGGGUAAUAUGAAAUGUUAUUUGAAAGAGGAUUUAUUAGUAAGUGUUUAUUAAUCAGAUUGGCUGAAAGGGGGUCUGAGAUAUGUACAAAUCGCCCGUCACUCUGGUUUUAAUAUCAGAUAAGUCGUAACAAAGUAGAUGUAAGGGAACUUGCAUCUAGAUGA